This 579-nucleotide ribosomal RNA is filed under the name Pseudanabaenaceae cyanobacterium C86. RNAcentral's name for it is "bacterial SSU rRNA". It matches the Rfam family "Bacterial small subunit ribosomal RNA", at positions 125 to 737 of the family's 1533-position model. The record is from RNAcentral. Lineage: Bacteria; Bacillati; Cyanobacteriota; Cyanophyceae; Pseudanabaenales; Pseudanabaenaceae.
UCUGCCCUUAGGAUGGGGACAACAGCUGGAAACGGCUGCUAAUACCCAAUGUGCCGAGAGGUGAAAGCUUUAGCGCCUGAGGAUGAACUCGCGUCUGAUUAGCUAGUUGGUAGUGUAAUGGACUACCAAGGCGACGAUCAGUAGCUGGUCUGAGAGGAUGAUCAGCCACACUGGGACUGAGACACGGCCCAGACUCCUACGGGAGGCAGCAGUGGGGAAUUUUCCGCAAUGGGCGAAAGCCUGACGGAGCAACGCCGCGUGAGGGAAGACGGUCUGUGGAUUGUAAACCUCUUUUCUCAAGGAAGAAGAACUGACGGUACUUGAGGAAUCAGCAUCGGCUAACUCCGUGCCAGCAGCCGCGGUAAUACGGAGGAUGCAAGCGUUAUCCGGAAUUAUUGGGCGUAAAGCGUCCGUAGGCGGCCUUUCAAGUCUGCUGUUAAAGCGUGCAGCUUAACUGCAUAACGGCGGUGGAAACUGAGAGGCUAGAGUGUAGUAGGGGUAGAGGGAAUUCCCAGUGUAGCGGUGAAAUGCGUAGAUAUUGGGAAGAACACCGGUGGCGAAAGCGCUCUACUGGGCUAC